GAUGAACGCUAGCUACAGGCUUAACACAUGCAAGUCGAGGGGCAGCAUGAAAGGAACUUCGGUUCUUUUUGAUGGCGACCGGCGCACGGGUGCGUAACGCGUAUCGAACCUGCCUCAUACUCGGGGAUAGCCUUGCGAAAGUAAGAUUAAUACCCGGCGGUCUCGGAUGGCCGCAUGACUAUCCGAGUGAAGAUUUAUCGGUAUGAGAUGGCGAUGCGUCCCAUUAGCUAGUUGGUGAGGUAACGGCUCACCAAGGCAUCGAUGGGUAGGGGUUCUGAGAGGAAGGUCCCCCACAUUGGAACUGAGACACGGUCCAAACUCCUACGGGAGGCAGCAGUGAGGAAUAUUGGUCAAUGGACGCAAGUCUGAACCAGCCAAGUAGCGUGCAGGAAGACGGCCCUCUGGGUUGUAAACUGCUUUUAGUUGGGAAUAAAAAGAGGGACGUGUCCCUUAUUGUAUGUACCAUCAGAAAAAGGACCGGCUAAUUCCGUGCCAGCAGCCGCGGUAAUACGGAAGGUCCAGGCGUUAUCCGGAUUUAUUGGGUUUAAAGGGAGCGCAGGCGGCGGCGUAAGUCAGUUGUGAAAUCGUGCGGCUUAACCGUGCAAUUGCAGUUGAUACUGCGUCGCUUGAGUGCACACAGGGAUGUUGGAAUUCAUGGUGUAGCGGUGAAAUGCUUAGAUAUCAUGAAGAACUCCGAUCGCGAAGGCAUAUGUCCGGAGUGCAACUGACGCUGAGGCUCGAAAGUGUGGGUAUCAAACAGG
This 761-nucleotide ribosomal RNA is filed under the name uncultured bacterium. Its description in RNAcentral is "bacterial SSU rRNA". It matches the Rfam family "Bacterial small subunit ribosomal RNA", at positions 28 to 776 of the family's 1533-position model. The record is from RNAcentral.